This 7189-nucleotide long non-coding RNA is filed under the name Equus asinus (donkey). RNAcentral's name for it is "lncRNA (ENSEASG00005034299.1)". Lineage: Eukaryota; Metazoa; Chordata; Mammalia; Perissodactyla; Equidae. The record is from RNAcentral.
GCCACACUGCCCUGUGCGAGGGAGAUGGGAGGUAAAAAACGCUCUCCACAGGUGGCAGAGUGCUGCAGUCAACCCCUUAGUGUGUCUUUGUGCCACCUCCCCGGCUUCCAGUAUUGCCACUGCCAGAAAACUGCUGGUGUUGGGCUCCAACUGUGCACAGCCCAGGCAAUCUCUGCUACCUCCAAGACUCAUGUGGACCUUUGAAGAACGCCACCCUGGCUCCGUCCUGGCCUCUGCUCCUGCCUUCUUGCUGGGCUGUGGAGGUCACAGCAUAUACACCUUACGGCCAGCCACCAGAGUUCUGACAACACUGCCAUGUCGUGGAAAGAUACAAAAAGUCCAGCUGGCGACCCUCUGACUCUUGGGAGGAAAGAAAGAGGGCCAGCUUCUCCAACUGCAAUCCAGUGGGAGAAAGUGUGCGAGUGGGUACCUAUCAAAGUGGUUUUCAAGAUUCUCAUUUUUUUGCCCCUGGAAUGGGGUGUGGGACUGAAACACCAGUGAAUCCCUGUCGUAGAAGAUACAAGGAGCUGAAGUGCUAGCAGAAGUUCUCCAAAGCAGCAGAUAGAAGAAAGGGAAUAUGAGGUGGGGUGUGUGUGUGCAUGUGUUUAGCUUAGCCCUGGAGCAAACGUCCUUGGCCCGUGGAUGGAGAUAGCCAAGCCUUGAUUUAACCCUUGAUGUUGUCGUACUUUUGUCCUUUAAGGUUUUCAAGCACUCUGGGACUGGCUCUGUGGCCGAGUGGUUAAGUUCGUGUGCUCCGCUUCAGCGGCCCAGGGUUCGGAUCCUGGGCGCGGACAUGGCACCACUCAUUAGGCCAUGUUGAGGCAGCAUCCCACAUGCCACAAAUAGAAGGAUCCACAACUAAAAAAUGUGCAACUAUGUACCGGGAGGAUUUGGGGAGAAAAAAGCAGGAGAAAAAAAAAAAAUAAGAUUUUCAAGCACUGUGGUCCUGGAAGAAGCAGCAAGGGCUAAUGAGGAGCAGGCUGUACUCUGGGAAACAGGAAAUCUGGUUCCAUUAUGACUUCACCAGGGCCAGCCAUGGAAUUCUGAGCAGCUCGUUUGCUGCCCAGUGCUUUGGGUCUCCCUUGGCUACAGAUGCCAUCUGCGCCUUUAAGAUGUGAGGUUGUUUCCUGCAAAAUAGUGCUAGUGUCAUUGGCUGUUAAAAAUGGGACAGGCGGGGGAGCUUUGUCAUUUGGAUGACAUGUUUGCUGGGUUUGGCUUAUCCUGCUUGGGCGUUUUCUUCGUCCUUACUUUCUGGACACACAGAGAGAACAUAUGUUUGCAGUAUUGGAGGCAGGGGAUGAACUUCCUGUGUGGCAGCCCUACUGAAGUGUAUUCUUGCACGCACAAAUGCAAAGGCAGAUGCUGACCUGCUCUCUCAACCCUUCAGAACCCCUUUGGGGAAUGCUGGUGUGGUCACCGUCAGAGCAGAGCAACAAACAAAUCUGCUUUCCUCGGGGAUGAGCUCCAUUUGGACAGUACGAAACUUUGCUCAUUGAAAGCAAUUUAUUUAAACAAAUCAGGGUUUUUAAACUUUUUUAUUGAAGUGUAACAUACAUACAGAAAAGUGCAUGCAUCAUGAACAUACUGCUCGGUGAAUCUGUGCAAAGUCAACACACCUGUGUCCCCCAGCUAACCGAGUCAGGAAGUAGAACAUUAGUGGCAUCCCAGAAGACCCGAUGUAUCUCCUCUCCCAGUUACUAGACCUUUGUGGUAUAACCACUACCUUGACUUUCAGUACUUUAUACUAAUUUUGCCUGUUUUUGAACUUCAUAUAUAUUCGUGACAUUUAUCCACAGUUUGCACAGAUCUUAUUCAUUUACUCUCAUUACUAUAUAGUAUUCCAUGAUAGAAAUAUACCACAGUUUGCUUCAUCUGUGUUGAUGGGAUUUGGGGCUGUUUGCCAUUUUUGGCUAUUUCAAAUUCUACUUCUAGGAAGUUUUGCACAUGCCUCUCGGUACUCGUGUGCACGCAUUUCUGGUGCACAUUCUUACAAGUGGAGCUGCUGGGUCACAGUGUUUGCACACAUUCAGCUUUAAUGGACUUGCGAAACAGCAGUGAAUGAUAGGAAUGCUUUUUUUUUUUUGAGGAAGCCUGGCCCUGAGUAACAACCGAGCCCAUCUUCCUCUACUUUAUAUGUGGGACACCUGCCACAGCAUGGCUUGACAAGCGGUGCCGUGUCCACACCUGGGAUCCGAACCAGCGAACCCUGGGCCGCCGAAGCAGAACGUGCGAACUUAACCACUGCGCCAAGGGGCCGGCCCCAGGCAUGCAUUUUUGAUAGAGGAGGAGCACAGAGCUAAGAUCGGGCCCUAGGCUUCUGGUCCCUUCCCAGGCUUGGAUUAGGGAGGAACCAGAGCAAACCACUUACUCUCUGUGCCUCCUCAACUAUAAACUAGAAAUAAUUAGUACCUGCUCUAUUACUUGCUGUGGGACGGACAGCCCUCUGCCAAGACUCACGCUGCACAAAUGCAAGCUGUCAUUAAAAUGGAAGCAGAGGAGGCAGCUUUUUAAUUAUUAAUGAGAACUAAAGAAUAACUAUACUUAUGUGAAUUUCCAUUUCCAAUUAAGAAUCUAGAGAUCAGAUUAACUGCUCUGCUAGACAGAAUUGUAUCGCCAAAGGGACCUGUAGUAUUAUUCUCUUAAACUCAGACAUAGUGAGUAACCUCCCCAGCCUGUCCUUCAGUCUCACCAGAAGAUUCCUUAACUGCCUGGAGCACCAGGGGGCCUCCCAAUUCUAUCUUUCAAUCACCAAAUGCCCCAGCUUCCUCCUUUCCCUUGCAUCAGCCUGAGUUGACCUGAUCUGGAAAGACUGUUUGGUUCAGCUCUGUCUGACUGGACCAGGAAAGCCAAAGGACACCGUCAUUCCAUGUGUUCUUGCAUCGCUGAAUGCAAAGUUUGAGUACUGUGAAUGAGGCCAAUUUGAUCUCACUGUGAAACCAAAAGUUCACAAACAUUUAUUUUAUGAAAGGUUGUGCUAAGCUAAACCAAGGGCUGUAAAAAAUGAUAAUUGAAAGUGGUGUCAAAAUCUCUUGCAGCCUAUUGGUUCCCGUGCAGGUAAUACCACAAGUAGGAGGCAGUGCCCUCUUCUGGCCAAAGCCACACUUGCAUGGCUGUGGCUAGGGGACUGCCAGCUCGUGGGCACUGGUUUUCCACUUGGGAGCAGGCUCCCUGUCGGGUUGUCUUGAGUGAAUCAUGUUUGGGAUCCACAGUCCCUUUCUUCUUCAAAAGAGAAAAGCCAAAACGGAUGGUUAAUUUAUGUGCAAUUAACAAUGAAAUCAGUAGACGUUUUUACCUUCCAUAACGUGGUUGGGCCUUAUCCUUAGGAGCAAGAACUGAGGUUUCCUGAAGAAAAAACUCUGCUUCAAGCCUGCAGUAAGAAGCUCUGCCUGAGUUUCCAUCCUGCAGACUUCAAAUUCCAGACUGCAACGUCUGCUCUUCCCUGAGUUUCUAUCCAGCCAGCCUGCUUUACGAAUUCAAACUUGUCAGUCCCCACAGUCGUUUGAGGCAAUUCCUUAAAACAAGUCUGUGUGCGCGCGUCUGAGUAUAUAUCUCCUAUUGGCUCCGUUUCCCUGGAGAACCCUGACUAAUACAAAACGCAGCUCCAAACCCCAUUCUAUAUCGGGGACAUCUCACCUGAAUGAACAUAGAGGGACAUGAAGUAUAGCAGCCGACCUUCUGAGUUCAGGAUUAAGUCCAGUCCCGGCUCACUUACUAGCUACUUAGUCAUACUUAGCCUUGGUUUCUUCACUUGCACAAAGGAGAAAAUAGUAAUAUUUACUGAACAGGCUGUUGGGAAGAUUAAAUAAGAGAAAACGUGCUUAGAAUGGUGUCUGGCUCAGAGCAAGUACUUGAUAAAAUGCUAAUGGUUAUUAUUAUGAUUAUUACUAAGGGUAUUGAGGAAAGUUGUCGAGGAAGAGUGAGUUACAGUGUUGGGUACAUGGAAGGUAGCUCUCCCCGGCCACUUCCUGCCCCUUGUCUCCCCAAAUCUCUCAUGUGCAGGCGAUCUCUGCCUAUCACCACUUGUUCCUGGGGGACAUUAUAGAGCCAUUUCUCGUAAAAUGUCCUGUUUCUUCCUGUAGGAACCCAAUCAAGAUUAAAAGUUGGAUUCCAAAUUAAGGACUAAGUCAGAGAUGAAACCGUUCUUGUUUUUAUAUUUGUGUGUGUUUCAUUCAGUGAUUCAACAGAAGGGCCCACAAGACUCCACAGCAGGUUACAGACUCACUGAGACGUAUAAAGCAAAGGAUACAGAGCGACAGCAGCAGGAAAAAGACGUGCAUGAAUGGAGCCCAGAGAGGUUCAACACAGACUUCCAAUAUCCUUCGUGGUUCAAGGCCACACAGGAGAACUCCCUCUCACCAUUAACUGUGGGGACAUGUGUGGAAUGCCUUUGCCCAUGGAAGCCUGUUUGAGUCUCAGAGUCCAAGGCUUUUAUGGAGAUCUGGCCACACGGGUAUAUUCUGCCAUGCAACCAGCCACGACAACCAAAACUCACGACCCUCACCAUGAAACCAGGUGCACAUCACUGAUCUUGACGUUUGUACAAAGCAACCUGACAAGCAGGUAUGGCAUGGUCCAUCGCUCCAGUGUAUAUAACAAAACAAUCAAUCACUACCAUAAAGAACACUCUAGGGACCACGUUCCCAGCGGGUGGCCAAUGGUUAAUCAUGGGUCCCUUAGAGACAUGUGAGGAGUAAGCAGCAAGACCUGCUGUCUUAACAAUUUCCUCACAAUCUGUAUUUUCUAAAAUGCCUAUAUUUAACCUGUAUUAUUUUAUAUUCAGAAAACUAGCUAUUACUAUAAAGGCAUCUAAACUUAAUUAUUUUCUUCUUUAGUGAUUUAACGAUGCUGCUUCGUAAUCUCAGUACAUUUCCCUGUAGUCAGCAGAGCUGCCGAGAGACGUCAAGUCACCCUACUAGACACUUCAUGGAUGCCCAUCAGAACCUUCAUACUCUUUGGGAAAACCAUAAAAAUAGGCCAGGACAGAGCAUAUGAGACCUAGGAGGAACCACACCACCACCAGUCAACUUCCCCAUCUUAGAGACAAGCAAGUGGGAACACUGAGCAGUGAAAUGACUCACCCAAGGUUCUAAGUCUAAGGUCUUUGAAUUAAAAACCUCUCUUGGAGGGGCUGGCCCCGUGGCCGAGUGGUUAAGUUGGCGCGCUCCGCUGCAGGGGGCCCAGUGUUUCGUUGGUUCGAAUCCUGGGUGCGGACAUGGCACUGCUCAUCAAACCACGCUGAGGCAGUGUCCCACAUGCCACAACUAGAAGGACCCACAACGAAGGAUAUACAACUAUGUACUGGGGGACUUUGGGGAGAAAAAGGAGAAAACUAAAAUCUUUAAAAAAAAAAAAAAACCUCUCUUGGAACUCCUGAAAUGGGUCAAGGCAAUGUCUGCUCAGAUGCUUCUGAUUGUCUUUAACAUGGGCAGAAACUGGAGGAGUCCUGACUGUUGGAGCUGCCUGAACCAAGUGUGCAUGGGCCAAUCUCUUUCAGUCUGGCUAGGCUUCCCAUCCUUCCUUCUCUCGUCCCUUCUCCAGUGGCCUGACAGAAGCACCAGGAUUCUGUCUAGAGCAUUGCCCAUGCUAUUGGGUCAAUGGUCCAGUUUGGAACCUAGCAAGAGAUUGAUUUCAUCUUCACUAAAAUUUUUCUUCUCUUCCCUUCAUUUACUCUCUUGUCUGUUGGGGGGUGGUGUCUGUCUCUCCACUGGACUGUAAAUUCCGUGAAGGCUUCCUGGAAGCAGGUUAUACAGUGUUAUGGUUUUGGGUAGUGAAGUCAAUGGUCCGGGGUCUGAAUUCUGGUUUAGCAUCUCACUGGCUUGUGUGAUUUGAGUGAGUUACUUAGUGGAAAUACCAAUAGUUCCUCCCUCACAAGGUUACUGGGAGGACAAAAGGAAGUAAUAACACUUAAGUAGCAUAGAGUUUGGCAUACAAGAAAUGUUCAGUAAAUAUUAGCUAUUAUUUUUUAAAUAGGUACUCCAUUUAUUUUGGAAAAUUCUACUCUCUGCUCUUUUUAACAGUUUUAUUGAGGUAAUGGACAUAUAAUAUACACUGUACAUGUUUAAAGUAUACAGUGUCAUAAGUUUUGGGUUUUUUUCUCCUCUUUCUUUUAAGUGUGCUUUUUGGUGAGGAAGAUUGGCCCUGCGCUAACAUCUGUUGCCAAUCUUCCUCCUUUUUUUUUUCUCUCCAUUACAUAGUGGUAUAUCCCAGUUGUAGGUCAUUCUAGUUCUUCUAUGCGGGACACCGCCACAGCAUGGUUUGAUGAGCAGUGCAUAGAUCUGCUCCCAGGAUCCGAACCGGCAAACCUUGGGCCUCCAAAGAGGAGCACAUGAAUUGCAAACUUAACCACUUGGCCAUGGGGCUGGCCCAAACAGUGUCAUAAGUUUUGAUGUGUACACAUCUGUGAAACCAUCACCACAAUCUAGUUAAUGAACAUAUCCAUAACCCUCAAGAGUUUAUAUCCUUUUGUAAUCCCUUUCCCUGUCUACAGGAAACCAGUGUUUACUCUGUGUCUCUAUAUGUUAGCUUGCAUUUUCCAGAAUAUUAUAUAAAUGGAAUCAUAUAGUAGCCACUCUUUUUCGGCAUCUUUCACCCAGCAUUAUUCUGAGAUUCAUCCAUGUUGCUGAGUGUAUCAAUUGCUGAGUAGAUACACAGCAAUUUGUUUAUUCAUUCACCUACUGAUGGACAUUUGGGUUGUUUCCAGUUUUGAGGUAUUAGAAAUAAAAUUUGUAUUAACAUUUGUGUACAACUCUUUGUAUGGAAAUAUGCUUACAUUUCUCCUGGGAGUAGAAUGGGUGGGUCAUAAGUCAGGUAUAUGUUUAAGUUUUUAAGAAACUGCCAAAUUGUUUUCUAAAUGGUUGUACCAUUUUGCAUUCUUAUCAGUAGCCUAUGAGAGUUCCAGUUGCUCCACAUCCUCCAUGACAAAACCCUCAGGUACUCUUGCCAUAGAAACAUAGUCAUAGUUCCUGUAGUUAAAAACACGUGAGAAAUAUUGGGUUUCUUUAUCCUAGGACUUGUUAGCGGAUUAAGGCAGUAAUGUGGUGGAACCUAUGAGUGGAUAUCACACGCAGUGUCCUCACACUGACUGACCCAUGGAACUCUUUAUUCGAGGUUCAUGUCUAGCAAUCAGUGUUCUAUGGAACACAUCUCGGGAAACGCUGCCUUGGGGAUUGCUCUGUGCAAAGCCUUAAAG